Molecule: long non-coding RNA, 1823 nt
Organism: Capsicum annuum
Lineage: Eukaryota; Viridiplantae; Streptophyta; Magnoliopsida; Solanales; Solanaceae
Exons: 2
Source: RefSeq, a predicted model, not a curated record
GGUGAGGUGAUAAACCUCACUAUUCAACUUCAAGUAUCUCACGCAAUAACACCGCAUCGCGGUGAGUAUCACUUUUGGAAAAAAGUUUCAUUAAUUUGUCGGGUUUAACCCGACCUGACCCGAAUCAAUUUGUCCCCUCUAUAAGUACACCCAAACCCACUUAAUUUUCUCUCUCUAAACCCUAGCACCCCGACCCCCCACCCCAAAUCCCUUUAAAAUAUUUUCUCUCUUAUUUUCUUAGACUACAAAAGCUUAGAACAAGAUACUCCUUUUUUUCUCACUUCACAUCAGGUACUAUGGAUCGUAGACAAUAAAAAGGAAAGGACAAAGCUGGGACCUCUGAGCCAUCAAAGAAAAGAGUCAGGCAGACUGACAGAGUACCACGAGCUCCAGCAGUCCCUCGUAGUCAGGCAAGGAGGUUUGUAUAUAAGGAGGUCAACGUAGCUAGCAAGAAGUGGUAUUCAAAACACCUUGACACUAAGUACAUCCCGAAAGUGUUUAUCAAUAGGAAAGAUUAUAGUGUGAGUACCCUAGCAUGGUUCACCGAAUUGAGUAGCUGAAUAUGGCCUUUGUGUUUGACCAUCCUAUGGAGUGUAAUUUGUACCUCUUACGGGAGUUUUAUGCCAACUGGGACCCGAGAGACCCAAACCAUGAAGUGAAGAUCCGUGGAAAAGUGGUCACAUUUACAGCUAAGGACCUAAAUGACUUGUUAGGUACACCAGAAGCUGAUGCGGUGCAGUUGAGGCAGCUGAUCAUUACCCCUCCAUAUACCCAUACCCGAAACUUCUUGUGUGGAACAAGAUCUGCUGCUUGCCGGACUAGGCAGUGAGGCACUAGUCUUCAUUCAUCCUUCCCUAAAGCUCAAAUAAAUAGGGAGGCACGCAUGUGGGGAAAAAUUGUCUAUCAUUGCCUUAUUCAAAGGCAAAUACAUGACGGAAGUCACACGUGACAGGGUUUGUUGGAUAUAUGCUCUUAUGUGUAAUGAUGUUGACGUCAAUGUAGGUGUUGUGAUCUUCUCUACAAUGAAAAAGAUGCGUUACCAUGAGGAGCGCCGAAACAGUUUUGGAUGAUUAUUGAUCAGGUUCUUGAGGAGGCACAGGGUGGAGGAAGAAGAUUAAGAUUACAAGUUGGUGGUGGAUACUCGUUCGAUUGAUGUGACUAGAGUUAGGAGCAGAGCUGGAGCUCAUGGCCUGAUCCUUACUAUGCUCGAGUGUCAAGCUUGGACUGAUGAGAUUACUGCAAGAAUGUACAAACUGCAGAUGCUACAGCUGCGAGUAGGGGGAGACUGGCAACAGAGCUGGAAAUUCAUGCAGUGGAGUUGGAUUACCCGCUGGGUCACGAUGCAAGGACGUUGCUGCAGAUAGGGCCAUAGUUUGUUGAGCCUAUUGAUGAUGACGUGCCUAUCGAUGAGGAGAGGCAGUUGCGUGAUUCAGAUAUUGAAUCGGAGGACGACGAACAGCCUGAUAUGGAAGAAGCAGAUGACGAUGCAGAGGAGGAUGCCGAUGAUGAUGAAGCUAAUGAUGCAGAUAAUGACAUGGCUGAUGCCUGAGCAGGGAGCAUUAUGCCACCUUACUAUUUGCGCUUAUUUGUAAGCACUGGGACAACGCUUCAUUUUAAGUGGGGGGUGGUUGUAUCUCGUAUCUCAUUUUCUUUUUCGUAGCGCUUUGCUUUUACUUUGGUUGGAUGUUUUUCUCUUGUUGGAUGUUUAUUUUUAUUUUUAUUUUUAUUUUUAUUUUUGGAUGUUGAACUUAGUCAUUCUAACUAUUCAGAACAUUAUGGUCUGUAAUAGUUAGUAUAUAUUUAGUAAUGGUUUGCUUUUAAGU